GACGUAGGGGGCGAGCGUUGUCCGGAUUUAUUGGGCGUAAAGCGCGCGUAGGCGGUCGGGUAAGUCGGGUGUGAAAAUCCGGGGCUCAACCCCGGACCUGCAUUCGAUACUGCCGGGCUGGAGGCAGGUAGGGGAGAGUGGAAUUCCUGGUGUAGCGGUGAAAUGCGCAGAUAUCAGGAGGAACACCUGAGGCGAAGGCGGGUUGCUAGGCUGACACUGACGCUGAAGCGCGAAAGCCAGGGGAGCAAACGGG
Molecule: ribosomal RNA, 253 nt
Filed under: uncultured bacterium
Lineage: Bacteria
Description: partial 16S ribosomal RNA
Rfam family: Bacterial small subunit ribosomal RNA
Source: RNAcentral